CAGUUCGGAUUGGAGUCUGCAACUCGACUCCAUGAAGCUGGAUUCGCUAGUAAUCGCGCAUCAGCCACGGCGCGGUGAAUACGUUCCCGGGCCUUGUACACACCGCCCGUCAAGCCAUGGAAGCCGGGGGUGCCUGAAGUGCGUGAGCGCAAGCAGCGCCCUAAGGUAAAACCGGUGACUGGGGCUAAGUCGUAACAAGGUAUC
This 204-nucleotide ribosomal RNA is filed under the name uncultured bacterium. RNAcentral's name for it is "partial 16S ribosomal RNA". It matches the Rfam family "Bacterial small subunit ribosomal RNA", at positions 1289 to 1500 of the family's 1533-position model. The record is from RNAcentral.